GGGCCAGUGAUGAAAAAAUGUGAGGAAGUCAUGCUCCGCUCUGAUUUUUCUGUGCUGAUAAUUUUCUAACCCAAUUUUUCCUGAACCC
Molecule: small nucleolar RNA, 88 nt
Filed under: Cephalotus follicularis
Lineage: Eukaryota; Viridiplantae; Streptophyta; Magnoliopsida; Oxalidales; Cephalotaceae
Description: Small nucleolar RNA Z221/R21b
Rfam family: Small nucleolar RNA Z221/R21b
About the family: Z221 is a member of the C/D class of snoRNA which contain the C (UGAUGA) and D (CUGA) box motifs. Most of the members of the box C/D family function in directing site-specific 2'-O-methylation of substrate RNAs.
Source: Rfam by way of RNAcentral